ACCUGGCUGGCUCAGUCGGAAGAGCAUGUGACUCUCGAUCUCAGGGUCCUGGGUUCGAGCCCCAUGUGGGGUG
Molecule: non-coding RNA, 73 nt
Organism: Prionailurus viverrinus (fishing cat)
Lineage: Eukaryota; Metazoa; Chordata; Mammalia; Carnivora; Felidae
Source: the annotation of a RefSeq genome assembly